GUUUUUCGUUUACUCAAAAAAAAAAAAUAUAUAUAUAAACAUAUAUAUUAUAUAAGUAUGUAUACAUGUGUAUAUAUAUAUAUAUAUACAUAUAUUAUAAUGUAUAUAUAUAAUUCUUCAGCGAAAUGUACACAAUAAACAAAAUACAUAAUCAAAUAAAAUAACAAAUAAUUUGAACUUAAACGUAAUAAAAUAAUAUUAAAACGUACCAAUAAUCGCAUUAAUUAUUAAUAAUAAUUAAAUUACACCUACGCGUAAAGUAUUGUGUUAAGUCAAAAGUUAUAUAGGAAUUAUUUUUUUUUUAUUAUUAUUAUUUUUUUUUUUUUUUUGUUUUUCAAUAUUAUCCUUCGUUUUUAAACUUGAUUCUAUAUUUAUAUAUUUUUUUAUUUUUAUACUAAAUUUAUUUCGUUUACCUUAAAUACAAAUUUCGUACUACAACAUAAUGUCUACUAAAAAUAUUGACUAAUUUAUUGGUUUUUUUUUUUUUUUGUUUUUUUUUAUAAAUAAAAUUAUCACAACGAAUUACGUUUGGAUACAAACGAUAAUAAUAAUAAAUAAUAUUGGAUGUUUCUACGGCGAAAAAUUCUCUAACGAAACGAUAAAUAAUAAAAAAAAAUAAAUACAAUGUAAGCGACCAAUCUCCCCCGGUCGGCGCGAACUCGUGCUGGAAACAUAUUGCACGCGUCCUGGAGGCGAAACAGAUUCGCGAUUUUGUCUGGCCGGAAAAAAAAAAUAAAAAUGUUUGUUACUCCGAGUGUAUAUUUGCAUUUUCGUCAUUCAUUGUUCGAAUUUUUUGGAAUGUUCGAAAUGAUUUUGUCUACAUCCAAUCACAAAAAGGAAACACGGCGGACGGUGACCGACGGGACAGGCGUAGCAAUAACGGAACAACAUUCGAGUAUAUUAUUGUUGCGCGAAAGCCGGGCGACUCCCGGCUGUCCCGUGGCAACGAGCGGUCGCCGUACAGAGCGCCGUCGGGCGGGAACGAUAAAAAAAAAAUAAAAAAAAAAACCCCCCCGAACGGCCGGAGAAAAACGCGAAGUGAUCAUCAGCAACGAACAAUUGGCGGAACGGUGGGGAGGAAAGGAAAAAAAACAACGACCCGAUGCGCGGUGCGCGAGGGAGCGCGGAGUAGAAGGAAACGGGGGCGAGGAGAAAGUGUUCAGCGACACCGUGCGGGUACCGGUUUCGCGGUCGGAGUGGCUAGGGGGCGCGCCGAGGGAGACGGCGGCAGAAGACCGUUUUGUGCGCGAAAACGAUGGCGGGUAAACGACGUUGUCGAUAACGGCGGCAUUGACGUCGACGUUGAAAAUAACGGUUCCGGGGCGAGGGUCGUGGAAAAACGGAAAAACAGAGUAAAAAAAAAAAAAAAAAAAAAAAACACAUACAAAAACCGAUAACGUCACCACGGCGGGGCACUAGGCGUGCCGUUUCGCGAGGAGCCCUCCGAAGCGGGCGUUUGUUACGCGGCUCGGUAUUGGCACGGCGGUACCGGACCGGUUUAUCGUCGCGCACCGGGCGUAUUUUUUCGUCGUUUUUCGGGGGUGGGGUGGGGUAAAACAAUAAUAAUAAUAAUAAUAAUAAUAAUAAUAGUAAUGUAAUAAUUAAUAAUUCGACUUGGCGCGUACGCACGACCGUAAUAUUAUACAUAAUGCGAUUAACAAUAUUAGUGUAAAAUACAAUUAUAAUAAAUAGGCUUUGUUGUAUUUCCGUUAAAAAAAAAAAAUAAUAAUUAUAAUAAUAAUAAUAAUAAUAAUAAUAAUAAUUAUAAAUCGACAGUUUAAUAUAAACAAAGACGUAUCCGCGCGAUGUGCGUGCGUCGCGACAAUAUGCAAUUAAUAAUAUAUGUACAAGAGUCGAGUAGUGGUGUAGAUGGCGGCGCGUACGCUUGAAAAACGAACGAAAAUCCGUGUGCGAACGAUAGUAUCCCC
Molecule: long non-coding RNA, 1928 nt
Filed under: Cinara cedri
Lineage: Eukaryota; Metazoa; Arthropoda; Insecta; Hemiptera; Aphididae
Source: RNAcentral